RNAcentral lists this ribosomal RNA (127 nucleotides) under Acinetobacter baumannii. RNAcentral's name for it is "partial 16S ribosomal RNA". It matches the Rfam family "Bacterial small subunit ribosomal RNA", at positions 1412 to 1533 of the family's 1533-position model. The record is from RNAcentral. Lineage: Bacteria; Pseudomonadati; Pseudomonadota; Gammaproteobacteria; Moraxellales; Moraxellaceae.
UUGUUGCACCAGAAGUAGCUAGCCUAACUGCAAAGAGGGCGGUUACCACGGUGUGGCCGAUGACUGGGGUGAAGUCGUAACAAGGUAGCCGUAGGGGAACCUGCGGCUGGAUCACCUCCUUAACGAA